AUUGGAACAGGAGUAGGC
This 18-nucleotide microRNA is filed under the name Chiloscyllium plagiosum (whitespotted bambooshark). RNAcentral describes it as "microRNA PC-5p-370755_2". Lineage: Eukaryota; Metazoa; Chordata; Chondrichthyes; Orectolobiformes; Hemiscylliidae. The record is from RNAcentral.